RNAcentral lists this ribosomal RNA (402 nucleotides) under uncultured bacterium. RNAcentral describes it as "bacterial SSU rRNA". It matches the Rfam family "Bacterial small subunit ribosomal RNA", at positions 355 to 772 of the family's 1533-position model. The record is from RNAcentral.
GGGGGAAUAUUGGGCAAUGGGGGGAACCCUGACCCAGCAACGCCGCGUGAGGGAAGAAGGUUUUCGGAUUGUAAACCUCUGUUCUUGGAGAAGAGGAGAAGACGGUAUCCAAGGAGGAAGCCCCGGCUAACUACGUGCCAGCAGCCGCGGUAAUACGUAGGGGGCGAGCGUUGUCCGGAAUAAUUGGGCGUAAAGGGCGCGUAGGCGGCCAGACAAGUCAGUAGUGGAAGUCCCAUUUUCAAGGUGGGGAGGGCUAUUGAAACUGUAGGGCUUGAGUGCAGGAGAGGUUAUCGGAAUUCCCGGUGUAGCGGUGAAAUGCGUAGAGAUCGGGAGGAACACCAGUGGCGAAGGCGGGUAACUGGACUGCAACUGACGCUGAGGCGCGAAAGUGUGGGGAGCAAA